AGUACUAUACUUUAAGGUAAAAGGUUAGAUUUGCAUUCUGAAAAUGGGAAAUCAUUCUCUAGUGCU
Molecule: transfer RNA, 66 nt
Filed under: Macoma balthica
Lineage: Eukaryota; Metazoa; Mollusca; Bivalvia; Cardiida; Tellinidae
Description: Limecola balthica tRNA-Ala
Rfam family: tRNA
About the family: Transfer RNA (tRNA) molecules are approximately 80 nucleotides in length.
Source: RNAcentral